ACGGACCAACUAAGGACGGGAUGC
RNAcentral lists this non-coding RNA (24 nucleotides) under Arabidopsis thaliana (thale cress). The record is from RNAcentral. Lineage: Eukaryota; Viridiplantae; Streptophyta; Magnoliopsida; Brassicales; Brassicaceae.